RNAcentral lists this ribosomal RNA (819 nucleotides) under Micromonospora carbonacea. RNAcentral's name for it is "bacterial SSU rRNA". It matches the Rfam family "Bacterial small subunit ribosomal RNA", at positions 54 to 890 of the family's 1533-position model. The record is from RNAcentral. Lineage: Bacteria; Bacillati; Actinomycetota; Actinomycetes; Micromonosporales; Micromonosporaceae.
CAUGCAAGUCGAGCGGAAGGCCCUUCGGGGUACUCGAGCGGCGAACGGGUGAGUAACACGUGAGCAACCUGCCCUAGGCUUUGGGAUAACCCUCGGAAACGGGGGCUAAUACCGAAUACAACCUUUGGUCGCAUGACUGGGGGUGGAAAGUUUUUCGGCCUGGGAUGGGCUCGCGGCCUAUCAGCUUGUUGGUGGGGUGAUGGCCUACCAAGGCGACGACGGGUAGCCGGCCUGAGAGGGCGACCGGCCACACUGGGACUGAGACACGGCCCAGACUCCUACGGGAGGCAGCAGUGGGGAAUAUUGCACAAUGGGCGGAAGCCUGAUGCAGCGACGCCGCGUGAGGGAUGACGGCCUUCGGGUUGUAAACCUCUUUCAGCAGGGACGAAGCGCAAGUGACGGUACCUGCAGAAGAAGCACCGGCCAACUACGUGCCAGCAGCCGCGGUAAGACGUAGGGUGCGAGCGUUGUCCGGAUUUAUUGGGCGUAAAGAGCUCGUAGGCGGCUUGUCGCGUCGACCGUGAAAACUUGGGGCUCAACCCCAAGCCUGCGGUCGAUACGGGCAGGCUAGAGUUCGGUAGGGGAGACUGGAAUUCCUGGUGUAGCGGUGAAAUGCGCAGAUAUCAGGAGGAACACCGGUGGCGAAGGCGGGUCUCUGGGCCGAUACUGACGCUGAGGAGCGAAAGCGUGGGGAGCGAACAGGAUUAGAUACCCUGGUAGUCCACGCUGUAAACGUUGGGCGCUAGGUGUGGGGGGCCUCUCCGGUUCCCUGUGCCGCAGCUAACGCAUUAAGCGCCCCGCCUGGGGAGUACGGCCGCA